This 827-nucleotide long non-coding RNA is filed under the name Anas platyrhynchos platyrhynchos (common mallard). Its description in RNAcentral is "lncRNA (ENSAPLG00000016674.1)". Lineage: Eukaryota; Metazoa; Chordata; Aves; Anseriformes; Anatidae. The record is from RNAcentral.
GAAUGCUUGGCUUUGUUUUGUAUAUAUAAAAAAGUUUGUGUGUCUGGCCUUUUUCCCAAGUUAUUUUUGCUCCAUCUGUUUGAGCCUAGAUUAUAAUGUCCCCCACAUGAAUACACACCAAAAACCUUUACAGAGGUAUGCAUCUACAAGUUUCACUAUUACAAGAGGAGUUUGUCUGUUGAAAUUGAGUCCAGGAAUACUAUACAAGCAACAAGCAGUAUUUCAGGAAUCCUGGAUGCCAUCUGCCUUUAACCUUCCAGCUUUAUUACCAAAUCUUAACCACAUGGAUGCCUGUUCAGACCAAGAAGACUUUUCUCCCCUCUGAAGGCUCUGCUCCUCUACCAGGUACUCCUAGGUUGGUUUAGCAAUCCAGGUGAGUUGAGGAACACAUGGGAAGUUCCUUAACGUCAAUCAAGUCUUGUAACUCUGAUACAUGCUAUAUUUUCUGUUGUUAGACACUUUUUCUUGGUCAGUUUUAUGAGCUCCGUGCAUCAUACUUUCAGAUGGGGUGAUUUACAAGUGAGAAGCUGCAGAGUUCCUGAAGAGUCAGGAGUUUAUUUAAGGCACAAAUACAUCUCUGCUGCAAGUAGUAUUGUUUUGUUAUAUGAAUGAAUAGAGAAGCUGGAUUCACUUACAGCUUACAUGUAACCCUGACACAUCACCUGAGCUCUAGCUCAUCAUCUUUGGGGGCACACAGAUUUCUGUCAACCUGUAUUACUUGUCUAACUCAUUACAUGAUAUGCCAUAGGUUUGAUGUAACAUGCCCGAAGUAUAAUUUUUCUAAAACCUGCAAUUUAUACAAACUGUCACCCGUAAUCUGACUAAAU